UACGUAUGUUCCAAGCGUUAUCCGGAUUUAUUGGGCGUAAAGCGAGCGCAGACGGUUAUUUAAGUCUGAAGUGAAAGCCCUCAGCUCAACUGAGGAAUUGCUUUGGAAACUGGAUGACUUGAGUGCAGUAGAGGAAAGUGGAACUCCAUGUGUAGCGGUGAAAUGCGUAGAUAUAUGGAAGAACACCAGUGGCGAAGGCGGCUUUCUGGACUGUAACUGACGUUGAGGCUCGAAAGUGUGGGUAG
RNAcentral lists this ribosomal RNA (245 nucleotides) under uncultured Weissella sp. RNAcentral describes it as "partial 16S ribosomal RNA". It matches the Rfam family "Bacterial small subunit ribosomal RNA", at positions 524 to 768 of the family's 1533-position model. The record is from RNAcentral. Lineage: Bacteria; Bacillati; Bacillota; Bacilli; Lactobacillales; Lactobacillaceae.